This 253-nucleotide ribosomal RNA is filed under the name uncultured bacterium. Its description in RNAcentral is "partial 16S ribosomal RNA". It matches the Rfam family "Bacterial small subunit ribosomal RNA", at positions 524 to 776 of the family's 1533-position model. The record is from RNAcentral.
CACGGGGGGAGCAAGCGUUGUUCGGAAUCACUGGGCGUAAAGGGCGUGUAGGCGGUCAAGUAAGUGGAACGUGAAAUCCCUCGGCUCACCCGAGGACCUGCGUCCCAAACUGCUUGGCUUGAGUAUGGGAGAGGAUGAGGGAAUUCCUGGUGUAGCGGUGAAAUGCGUAGAUAUCAGGAGGAACACCGGUGGCGAAGGCGCUCAUCUGGCCCAAUACUGACGCUGAGGCGCGAAAGCUAGGGGAGCAAACGGG